RNAcentral lists this ribosomal RNA (253 nucleotides) under uncultured bacterium. Its description in RNAcentral is "partial 16S ribosomal RNA". It matches the Rfam family "Bacterial small subunit ribosomal RNA", at positions 524 to 776 of the family's 1533-position model. The record is from RNAcentral.
UACGUAGGGUGCAAGCGUUAAUCGGAAUUACUGGGCGUAAAGCGUGCGCAGGCGGUUGUGCAAGACAGGUGUGAAAUCCCCGGGCUUAACCUGGGAACUGCAUUUGUGACUGUACGGCUGGAGUACGGCAGAGGGGGAUGGAAUUCCGCGUGUAGCAGUGAAAUGCGUAGAUAUGCGGAGGAACACCGAUGGCGAAGGCAGUCCCCUGGGCCUGUACGGACGCUCAUGCACGAAAGCGUGGGGAGCAAACAGG